GUGGGGAAUAUUGGACAAUGGGCGCAAGCCUGAUCCAGCCAUGCCGCGUGUGUGAAGAAGGCCUUUUGGUUGUAAAGCACUUUAAGCGAGGAGGAGGCUCCUUUAGUUAAUACCUAAAGUGAGUGGACGUUACUCGCAGAAUAAGCACCGGCUAACUCUGUGCCAGCAGCCGCGGUAAUACAGAGGGUGCGAGCGUUAAUCGGAUUUACUGGGCGUAAAGCGUGCGUAGGCGGCUUUUUAAGUCGGAUGUGAAAUCCCUGAGCUUAACUUAGGAAUUGCAUUCGAUACUGGAAAGCUAGAGUAUGGGAGAGGAUGGUAGAAUUCCAGGUGUAGCGGUGAAAUGCGUAGAGAUCUGGAGGAAUACCGAUGGCGAAGGCAGCCAUCUGGCCUAAUACUGACGCUGAGGUACGAAAGCAUGGGGAGCAAACAGGAUUAGAUACCCUGGUAGUCC
This 451-nucleotide ribosomal RNA is filed under the name uncultured bacterium. RNAcentral's name for it is "partial 16S ribosomal RNA". It matches the Rfam family "Bacterial small subunit ribosomal RNA", at positions 354 to 796 of the family's 1533-position model. The record is from RNAcentral.